AACGCGAAGAACCUUACCAACCCUUGACAUCCCAGGACCGGCCCAGAGAUGGGUCUUCCACUUCGGUGGCCUGGAGACAGGUGCUGCAUGGCUGUCGUCAGCUCGUGUCGUGAGAUGUUCGGUUAAGUCCGGCAACGAGCGCAACCCACGUCCCCAGUUGCCAGCAUUCAGUUGGGCACUCUGUGGAAACUGCCGGUGAUAAGCCGGAGGAAGGUGUGGAUGACGUCAAGUCCUCAUGGCCCUUACGGGUUGGGCUACACACGUGCUACAAUGGUGGUGACAGUGGGUUAAUCCCCAAAAGCCAUCUCAGUUCGGAUUGUCCUCUGCAACUCGAGGGCAUGAAGUUGGAAUCGCUAGUAAUCGCGGAACAGCAUGCCGCGGUGAAUACGUUCCCGGGUCUUGUACACACCG
Molecule: ribosomal RNA, 411 nt
Filed under: uncultured bacterium
Lineage: Bacteria
Description: bacterial SSU rRNA
Rfam family: Bacterial small subunit ribosomal RNA
Source: RNAcentral